Molecule: ribosomal RNA, 454 nt
Filed under: uncultured Thiobacillus sp.
Lineage: Bacteria; Pseudomonadati; Pseudomonadota; Betaproteobacteria; Nitrosomonadales; Thiobacillaceae
Description: bacterial SSU rRNA
Rfam family: Bacterial small subunit ribosomal RNA
Source: RNAcentral
GCACAAGCGGUGGAUGAUGUGGAUUAAUUCGAUGCAACGCGAAAACCUUACCUACCCUUGACAUGUCCGGAAUCCCGAAGAGAUUUGGGAGUGCUCGCAAGAGAGCCGGAACACAGGUGCUGCAUGGCUGUCGUCAGCUCGUGUCGUGAGAUGUUGGGUUAAGUCCCGCAACGAGCGCAACCCUUAUCAUUAGUUGCUACGCAAGGGCACUCUAAUGAGACUGCCGGUGACAAACCGGAGGAAGGUGGGGAUGACGUCAAGUCCUCAUGGCCCUUAUGGGUAGGGCUUCACACGUCAUACAAUGGUCGGUACAGAGGGUUGCCAAGCCGCGAGGUGGAGCCAAUCCCAGAAAGCCGAUCGUAGUCCGGAUUGUUCUCUGCAACUCGAGAGCAUGAAGUCGGAAUCGCUAGUAAUCGCGGAUCAGCAUGUCGCGGUGAAUACGUUCCCGGGUCUU